CCUGGCUUAUGUAAAAAUCAUAGGGAAUACUGGGUAAAUCUGGGCACUUCCUUGGCUACAGACUGGUCACCAAGGAAGGCCUAGGCCAAACUACCACAAUGUCCUUGAGGGAAGCCUGGAAGCCCUGUAGACUGAUCAAUGUUUGUAGACUCUCAGUAAUAAGGGACAAGUUACUGUAUUUAAAGGGUGACUAAGAUGGAGACUACCUUUUUACAAGGAGCCACAGGGAAAACAUGAGGAGUACAUGUACGAGUUACUACUGUGUUGAUACAAGAUGAGCUGGGCUAGACGUAAUUCUGAUAAAGGCCUUGAGAAAAGGAAAUGCGAAACUUUGGAGGCACUUUGAGUCCUUAUCUUGCUGGGAACUGACCUCCAGGCUUUGGGGAAAUUGUACUGUACAGAUGGCAUUUUCCAUCUGAAACCACCUAUUGUGGAGGUCAUCUUGCAAAAGGGAGUCUCAAAGCCUGGGAAGGGUUCCACUGCAGAUGGUCAGUGUAUAAGGCCAGGGAGAAUUGUUCCUUAGCCAGGGAAAAGGCUUCAGAUUUUACAAUGAGAUUGGGAUCCAUGAACAUCCAAGUGUAG
Molecule: long non-coding RNA, 582 nt
Filed under: Manacus vitellinus (golden-collared manakin)
Lineage: Eukaryota; Metazoa; Chordata; Aves; Passeriformes; Pipridae
Description: lncRNA (ENSMVIG00005005752.1)
Source: RNAcentral